GCGGGCAUGGUGUAGUGGUAGCACGAAGCCCUUCCAAGGUUUAAGCACGGGUUCGAGUCUCGUGGCCAGCUCCA
This 74-nucleotide transfer RNA is filed under the name Nitrospirota bacterium. Its description in RNAcentral is "Nitrospirae bacterium (sediment metagenome) tRNA-Gly". It matches the Rfam family "tRNA". Rfam says of the family: Transfer RNA (tRNA) molecules are approximately 80 nucleotides in length. The record is from RNAcentral. Lineage: Bacteria; Pseudomonadati; Nitrospirota.